UACAGAGGGUGCGAGCGUUAAUCGGAAUUACUGGGCGUAAAGCGCGCGUAGGCGGCUUUGCAAGUCGGGUGUGAAAUCCCCGGGCUCAACCCGGGAACUGCGUCCGAUACUGGAAGGCUUGAAUCCGGGAGAGGGAUGUGGAAUUCCAGGUGUAGCGGUGAAAUGCGUAGAUAUCAGGAGGAACACCGGUGGCGAAGGCGGCCUCCUGGACCGAUACUGACGCUGAGACGCGAAAGCGUGGGUAGCAAACAGG
This 253-nucleotide ribosomal RNA is filed under the name uncultured prokaryote. RNAcentral describes it as "partial 16S ribosomal RNA". It matches the Rfam family "Bacterial small subunit ribosomal RNA", at positions 524 to 776 of the family's 1533-position model. The record is from RNAcentral.